Molecule: ribosomal RNA, 423 nt
Filed under: uncultured prokaryote
Description: bacterial SSU rRNA
Rfam family: Bacterial small subunit ribosomal RNA
Source: RNAcentral
UAAGGAAUAUUGGUCAAUGGGCGCAAGCCUGAACCAGCCAUGCCGCGUGCAGGAAGACGGCCCUAUGGGUUGUAAACUGCUUUUGUACGGGAAAAAACCCCGGGUUUCGUACCUGGGCUGAUGGUACCGUAAGAAUAAGGAUCGGCUAACUCCGUGCCAGCAGCCGGGGUAAUACGGAGGAUCCAAGCGUUAUCCGGAUUUAUUGGGUUUAAAGGGUGCGCAGGCGGAAUGAUUAGUCAGUGGUGAAAUCCUACAGCUUAACUGUAGAACUGCCAUUGAUACUGUCAUUCUUGAGUAUAAUUGAUGUGGGCGGAAUGUGUCAUGUAGCGGUGAAAUGCUUAGAUAUGACACAGAACACCGAUCGCGAAGGCAGCUCACAAAGCUAUAACUGACGCUCAGGCACGAAAGCGUGGGGAUCAAACA